RNAcentral lists this ribosomal RNA (195 nucleotides) under uncultured bacterium. Its description in RNAcentral is "partial 16S ribosomal RNA". It matches the Rfam family "Bacterial small subunit ribosomal RNA", at positions 326 to 539 of the family's 1533-position model. The record is from RNAcentral.
ACGCUCGACACCUCGGAGGCAGCAGUGGGGAAUAUUGCACAAUGGGGGAAACCCUGAUGCAGCGACGCCGCGUGGAGGAAGAAGGUCUUCGGAUUGUAAACUCCUGUUGUUGGGGAAAAAGAGGAUGGUACCCAACAAGGAAGUGACGGCUAACUACGUGCCGCAGCCGCGGUAAUCUGAGCGGGCUGGCAAGGC